ACUCCUACGGGGGCAGCAGUGGGGAAUAUUGCACAAUGGGGCGCAAGCCUGAUGCAGCCAUGCCGCGUGUAUGAAGAAGGCCUUCGGGUUGUAAAGUACUUUCAGCAGUGAGGAAGGCGGGUACGUUAAUAGCGUGCUUGUUUGACGUUAGCUGCAGAAGAAGCACCGGCUAACUCCGUGCCAGCAGCCGCGGUAAAUACGGAGGGUGCGAGCGUUAAUCGGAAUUACUGGGCGUAAAGCGCAUGCAGGUGGUUUGUUAAGUCAGAUGUGAAAGCCCGGGGCUCAACCUCGGAAUUGCAUUUGAAACUGGCAGACUAGAGUACUGUAGAGGGGGGUAGAAUUUCAGGUGUAGCGGUGAAAUGCGUAGAGAUCUGAAGGAAUACCGGUGGCGAAGGCGGCCCCCUGGACAGAUACUGACACUCAGAUGCGAAAGCGUGGGGAGCAAACAGGAUUAGAUA
RNAcentral lists this ribosomal RNA (458 nucleotides) under uncultured bacterium. RNAcentral's name for it is "bacterial SSU rRNA". It matches the Rfam family "Bacterial small subunit ribosomal RNA", at positions 335 to 784 of the family's 1533-position model. The record is from RNAcentral.